CUUGCUGGAGAUUAUUGCACACCUGAGGCCUUCUGAAGAUUUGUGUUGCAGCUGCAUUAAUCAUGAACUGUAGCUUUCAUGUUGGCAAAUCUGUGGGUACUAGGCAUGAAGAACCAAACUCCAUGUUGUCAGGUCACAUUAUCUCCAGGAUUUCUUACAGGCAAAUUGUGUCCUGAACGCUCUGCAUGAUUCACCAAAAAAGGUCUUUCUCCAUGUAAAGCAUCAUCUUCCAUUAAGCAGGAGAAAUAAACCACUGCAUGCAAACGAUGUGAACACGUGGCUUAUGAAUAAGCAGAACAAUUUUAGGAAAAUCACCUCAGAGCAUGGCAAACAACAAUAACGCAAUCAGAUCAGUACUCUUGCUCGUCCAAGACCAAAGCAAGUGGUCUUCUCUUGGUGAAAAGGAGAAACAGCUCAUGGCUUGUUAUCAGUAAUGCUCCCAGGCUGCUAUUUCUGUCCUGAGCUCUGGACCCACUGGACAUCGCUUUCUUAUGGUUUCUUUAUGGUUACUCAGCCAGGCCUGAGAGUGGUGCACAAACAUUUCCAGGAUGUUUUGGAAGAUACUACCAAAACUGUACCAGAAAGCAAAAACAAAACUGCAAGAGAUUUCAUCAACUCUGCCAGGUCCCCAUUGGAGGUAUUUCCUUGGCCUUGUAGAACAGAAAUCAGUCAUUUGUGUGUAGAUGAAAAAUGAGAAUCAGUUACUGGAGUUCAAAGUCAUCACAACCAAAUUAAAUAGAAAAUGAAAUAUUUUAAGAAGCAACCUAUAGUAAGUGGAUUUGAAUUAGCUGCAGAUAUGGACAAUUUUCUUUCCAUCACCUGACCAUGUAAAAUAUCUACUUGAAUUGAAUUCUCCCUUUAUAUCACCUCUUUCCUUUAUUUCCUGUCAUAGAUUCAUAGAUGUGUGAUUAAACUAUCAGUUCUGAUAUCCCCCAAAAAUGAUGAAGGAAGAUUACGCCAUAAAUCAUAAAUCCUUCUUUCCACUUGUCUGUGAGAUUUAGACAGCUUUCAAAUUUUCCCCUAGUGAUUACAGCAAAUUGUAAUAGAGAUAAAACAUAAAGUGUUUAUAGGUAUUUUUUAGAGGCCAUAAGAUUUAUGAGAUCAUUUUAUAGUGAUAAUUUUGAUGACAAAUGCGGUCAUAGGUUUUUUUGUUGUUGUUGUUAUUGCUUUUAUUUUCACUUGCUAUGAAGCUGUUAGUUUAAAACGCCACUUAAAUUUUUAACUUUUUUUUUGCCAACAGAAAUGAAAAGAUGGCAUCCCACUGAGCUCCUUGCAUAAUUU
Non-coding RNA from Meleagris gallopavo (turkey), 1281 nucleotides. The record is from RefSeq and is a predicted model, not a curated record. NCBI's taxonomy places the organism in Eukaryota, Metazoa, Chordata, Aves, Galliformes, Phasianidae.